CCGUUCCAGCCCUCGUUGCUAACCCCUGACUCCUCUGCAUUUCCACUUUCACUCCGGUACCUCCUCAGACUAACUGUGCUUCUUGCAAACAUGUAAGCAUGCAGCUGACACCCGCUGAGAGCAUUUCUGCUGAAGUCACCAAACACGCGAGUCUCCGGGCAAACCGAGUCUCCCCCCUGCCGGGUCUCCUCACCUGACCAGCAGCCUCGGCGCACGUGAAAAAGACUGAAGCAUAACAGGUGAGGGAGGUGCCAGUCCACCAUGUCGAAUAAAGAGGCACGAUGUCACCCUGUCACCGCUGGCAGGCUGCAGCAUAAAGGCGGCGUGAAGUCCGGGAUACGAAGGGCUCCUCGAUCUGCACAAAGCAGUCUCCCGUGCGGAGUGAAUACUUCAUAAUAAUUAAUUG
Brienomyrus brachyistius is the source of this 406-nucleotide long non-coding RNA. RefSeq lists it as uncharacterized. The record is from RefSeq and is a predicted model, not a curated record. The transcript has 3 exons. Lineage: Eukaryota; Metazoa; Chordata; Actinopteri; Osteoglossiformes; Mormyridae.